This 536-nucleotide long non-coding RNA is filed under the name Trifolium pratense (red clover). RNAcentral's name for it is "long non-coding RNA (TPRA_LNC010998)". The record is from RNAcentral. Lineage: Eukaryota; Viridiplantae; Streptophyta; Magnoliopsida; Fabales; Fabaceae.
AAAGACGGAUAUUAAGGUAUUGAUUAUCUUAAUAAAGACGGACGUUGGAUAGUGUUCCACGUUGUUGUUGAUGGGCUAUAUGCCAAAAUUGUUGAUGUAUAUAUUCAUGAGUUUUGAGUGCAUGCAUCAUGAAUAUUUAGGGAUAUUGGCUUGUCCAAUAAAGAAGGAUAUCGAACUAUAUUUGUUUGAUAAAGAAGGAUAUCAGAGGUGAGAUACUCUGAUAAAGACGAUGGUACCCCAUGCAUUAGAAGUAUCUAGAGGGCAUAACAUGAAUGUGAAGCAUUAGAUUGCAUUAGGGAUUAUGUGUGCAUUUUAUAAUAAAUGAUGUUUGACACAUACUUGGUAAAUGUUGAUUGUUAAUCCGUAUGUGAGGAGCAGAGUCCGUCAUGACUAUAAAAUGAACAGCACAGAGUCCGUCAUGACUAUAAAAUGAACAGCGCAGAGUCCGUCAUGACUAUAAAAUGAACACCGCAGAGUCCGUCAUGACUAUAAAAUGAACAACGCAGGGUCCGUCAUGACCAUAAUCUGAACAAUGU